Molecule: ribosomal RNA, 391 nt
Filed under: Stenotrophomonas rhizophila
Lineage: Bacteria; Pseudomonadati; Pseudomonadota; Gammaproteobacteria; Lysobacterales; Lysobacteraceae
Description: bacterial SSU rRNA
Rfam family: Bacterial small subunit ribosomal RNA
Source: RNAcentral
UGAACGCUGGCGGUAGGCCUAACACAUGCAAGUCGAACGGCAGCACAGUAAGAGCUUGCUCUUAUGGGUGGCGAGUGGCGGACGGGUGAGGAAUACAUCGGAAUCUACCUUUUCGUGGGGGAUAACGUAGGGAAACUUACGCUAAUACCGCAUACGACCUUCGGUGAAAGCGAGGGACCGUUCGGGCCGUUGCGCGGAGUAGAUGAGCCGAUGUCGGAUUAGCUAGUUGGCGGGUAAAGGCCCACCAAGGCGACGAUCCGUAGCUGGUCUGAGAGGAUGAUCAGCCACACUGGAACUGAGACACGGUCCAGACUCCUACGGGAGGCAGCAGUGGGGAAUAUUGGACAAUGGGCGCAAGCCUGAUCCAGCCAUACCGCGUGGGUGAAGAAGG